RNAcentral lists this long non-coding RNA (933 nucleotides) under Prunus persica (peach). RNAcentral's name for it is "long non-coding RNA (PPER_LNC007222)". The record is from RNAcentral. Lineage: Eukaryota; Viridiplantae; Streptophyta; Magnoliopsida; Rosales; Rosaceae.
UUAGGUUCAGAACAUCAUGUCAACCAAGUCCAAUUAUCCAGCAACUUAUUUUAUGAAAAUGGAACCGAAAUCGUAAUCAGCAGUACACCACUAGAAGUUUAAUGAAUACCUUAAGAAUGAACAUAUAUGCAAAUGGGACUUACAUUCCAAUCGUUAAAUUAGAAAACAAACAAUAAAGGAGUGCAAUGACUAAAAGCUUAGCCACUGCAAUAUUUUAAUAUUUCUUAUUACUUAAAAAAGCUAAUAAAACCAAACAGUCAUCCAGUUCUUCCGCCAAAAGCUACCCACAAACUAUUAAGAAAACGGGCAAAAAACUAUAGCAGCAAGUAAUCACCUUUUGCAGCUUUCCCCCACCCCGGCCGGAAAAAGAAAAUAGUAUAUAUAAUUAGUAUUAUAUAAAAUAAAUAAAUAAAUAAAUAAAAGAAAUAAUGAAAGCUCGUAAAUGUGUAUGUGAGUAUCUCACCAACAAAAGACUGAUUGAGAAAGUUCAAGCAUAGUAGUUGAAAAUGAAAGUUUUAACCAAAUGACAGAGUAAGGGAAACAAGGAAGAUUACUCUUUUAGCGUCGAGGCAUGAAAAACAGGAGCUCCAGUAGGUUGUGCCAUGGUAAAAGUAACGGAGAAAGUGAGAGAAAAUAAGAGAAUGUACCUUUCUCGGAAACCAAACAGAACGGAAGGAAAGGGAAAAGCCGCUAAGAAUCGGAGUGGAAAUGAGAGCCCAUUCUCCGAAAGAGAAAAAUCUGAGAAAGCAAUGCCUAGGGUUUCGCGGCGUUGAAGUUAGAGAGCGAAAAUGCGUACCAGAGUCGUCUUCUCUCUCUGUCACUCUCACUCUCUCUGGCUCUGCUGGUGACAGAAAUGAGAGCUGCUGCUGCCUAUUAAAAGCGACGAACUGCUGCUCGUUUCGGAAAGAGAGAGAAUGGGUGGGAAGGAAACGG